GGAGAAAUACCCAAGUGGUUUAAGGGGACGGUCUCGAAAACCGUUAGGAGUGAAUAGCUCGCAGGGGUUCAAAUCCCCUUUUCUCCGCCA
This 90-nucleotide transfer RNA is filed under the name Candidatus Onthovivens merdipullorum. Its description in RNAcentral is "tRNA-Ser". It matches the Rfam family "tRNA". From Rfam's summary of the family: Transfer RNA (tRNA) molecules are approximately 80 nucleotides in length. The record is from RNAcentral. Lineage: Bacteria; Bacillati; Bacillota; Bacilli; Caryophanales.